Molecule: ribosomal RNA, 513 nt
Filed under: uncultured bacterium
Lineage: Bacteria
Description: bacterial SSU rRNA
Rfam family: Bacterial small subunit ribosomal RNA
Source: RNAcentral
AAUAGAUACCCUGGUAGUCCUAGCUGUAAACGAUGACCACUAGAUGUGGGAGGUAUCGACCCCUUCCGUGUCGCAGUCAACACGUUAAGUGGUCCGCCUGGGGAGUACGGUCGCAAGAUUAAAACUCAAAGGAAUUGACGGGGACCCGCACAAGCAGCGGAGCGUGUGGUUUAAUUCGAUGCGACGCGAAGAACCUUACCAGGGUUUGACAUGCCUGCGCACCACCGUGAGAGCGGUGUACCCGCAAGGGACGCAGGCGACAGGUGCCGCAUGGCUGUCGUCAGCUCGUGUCGUGAGAUGUUGGGUUAAGUCCCGCAACGAGCGCAACCCACGUUUUUAGUUGCCAUCAUUCAGUUGGGCACUCUAGAGAGACUGCCGGUGACAAACCGGAGGAAGGUGUGGAUGACGUCAAGUCAGCAUGCCCCUUACGUCCUGGGCUACACACGUACUACAAUGCUAUGGACAGAGAGUUGCGAGUGCGCGAGUACAAGCUAAUCUCGUAAACCAUGGCUC